GACGAACGCUGGCGGCGUGCCUAAUACAUGCAAGUAGAACGCUGAAGAGAGGAGCUUGCUCUUCUUGGAUGAGUUGCGAACGGGUGAGUAACGCGUAGGUAACCUGCCUUGUAGCGGGGGAUAACUAUUGGAAACGAUAGCUAAUACCGCAUAACAAUGGAUGACACAUGUCAUUUAUUUGAAAGGGGCAAUUGCUCCACUACAAGAUGGACCUGCGUUGUAUUAGCUAGUAGGUGAGGUAAUGGCUCACCUAGGCGACGAUACAUAGCCGACCUGAGAGGGUGAUCGGCCACACUGGGACUGAGACACGGCCCAGACUCCUACGGGAGGCAGCAGUAGGGAAUCUUCGGCAAUGGGGGCAACCCUGACCGAGCAACGCCGCGUGAGUGAAGAAGGUUUUCGGAUCGUAAAGCUCUGUUGUAAGUCAAGAACGGGUGUGAGAGUGGAAAGUUCAAACUGUGACGGUAGCUUACCAGAAAGGGACGGCUAACUACGU
Molecule: ribosomal RNA, 496 nt
Filed under: uncultured bacterium
Lineage: Bacteria
Description: partial 16S ribosomal RNA
Rfam family: Bacterial small subunit ribosomal RNA
Source: RNAcentral